RNAcentral lists this long non-coding RNA (754 nucleotides) under Crocodylus porosus (Australian saltwater crocodile). RNAcentral describes it as "lncRNA (ENSCPRG00005014223.1)". Lineage: Eukaryota; Metazoa; Chordata; Crocodylia; Crocodylidae. The record is from RNAcentral.
UUUUAGCUAGUAUCCAAUCUUGUGUGCCUCCCUCAAUAUUGUCAUGAAAAGAACACCCCUCCAAAUCUGUGUAGGUUGGUGAAAGAAGAGCUGCUCACCUUCUGCUGAUGGUUGCUCCAGCUAGGGGGCCUAGGUAAAACCCAAGACAAGGCAACAGAACGCUGAUGUCCUGAAAUCCAGAAGAGACUGCUUUGUUUGACUGAUGUGUUUACCAAGAGGAGAUCAAAUGAUAAAGAGAAGAGUCUGUCUGGCUUUUACUAGAGGCCUUUGAGGAAGACAGGAGAUGCAUGCAGUGUUUUUUUUUUGAAAUGUUGUCACCGGGUGUCAUUCUCCUGUGGGGUGCUGCAGGAUGAGUCUUGGAGGUGGAGGCCUGGAGCGUGAGAGAGCUCAGCUGAAACGAUUUAAACUUUCACGUCCAUUGAACCGGACGGACACUUGCUCUCAACAGAACUGGCACUUACCCAGCCCAGUCUUGGACCACAAUGCCACUGGGUUAAAAAUUCCAACCCAAACUUAAAUGGCUUCUCAGGUUAGUAUGGUUCAGGCUCUUUAGUUUCUAGCAUGCAAGGGAACUAGGUGGCUAUCAUCAUGUCUGGUCCAGUUGAAACAACAGGGUACCCAUUUCCAUCAGGGUUAGCUUCAGGGGGGCCUUCAUCAUAAGUCCAGAGCAAGUCUUGGACUCCUGUCUCUAGAGUAAUAACAAGAUGCUGUACCCUCUCUACCACCACACUCCUCCUCAUUGGGCUAAGCUUGG